GAUGAACGCUGGCGGCGUGCUUAACACAUGCAAGUCGAACGGAAAGGCCCAAGCUUGCUUGGGUACUCGAGUGGCGAACGGGUGAGUAACACGUGGGUGAUCUGCCCUGCACUUCGGGAUAACUCCGGGAAACUGGGUCUAAUACCGGAUAGGACGAUCGGUUGGAUGCCAUUGUGGGAAGAUUUUUGGGGGUGGGAUGAGCUCGCGGCCCAUCUGCUUGUUGUGGGGGUGAUGUCCUACCAAGGCGUCUACGGGGAGCCGGCCUGAGAGGGGGUGCGGCGACACUGGGAGUCUGAGACGGCGCAGACUCUUACGGGGGGCAGCAGUGGGGAAUAUUGGACAAUGGGGGCGAGCCUGAUGCAGCGAAGCGGCGUGGGCGGUGACGGCCUUCGGGUUGUGUACACCUUUCGCUAGGGACGAGGCGUUUUUGUGACGGUAAUUGGAGAAGAAGCACCGGCUAACUACGUG
RNAcentral lists this ribosomal RNA (468 nucleotides) under uncultured bacterium. RNAcentral describes it as "partial 16S ribosomal RNA". It matches the Rfam family "Bacterial small subunit ribosomal RNA", at positions 28 to 507 of the family's 1533-position model. The record is from RNAcentral.